This 97-nucleotide signal recognition particle RNA is filed under the name Gammaproteobacteria bacterium. RNAcentral describes it as "signal recognition particle sRNA small type". It matches the Rfam family "Bacterial small signal recognition particle RNA". Rfam says of the family: The signal recognition particle (SRP) is a universally conserved ribonucleoprotein involved in the co-translational targeting of proteins to membranes. Lineage: Bacteria; Pseudomonadati; Pseudomonadota; Gammaproteobacteria. The record is from RNAcentral.
CAUCGGUUCCUUCGCGACGACCAGCCGUCAAUCCCGCCAGGCCCGGAAGGGAGCAACGGUCGCGGUGAUGUCGGGUGCCGAAGUCCAGCUGGUGCGG